UGCAGAUGGAAAAACCACCACUACUUUCCUCCUGAAGCCUGAGAACAGCUGCAGCUUGUGACGCCGAGCAGAGAAGAGGAUGUUGUUCUGUAAAUCAGUUAAAAGACAAAGAGAAAAGACAGACAUGACUAACUGAAAAUGAUCUCAUCUCAGACUGCAAAGGAGAAAGUGUCGAUUGUAGCCUCUGCUC
Long non-coding RNA from Cynoglossus semilaevis (tongue sole), 190 nucleotides. RefSeq lists it as uncharacterized. The transcript is spliced from 3 exons. The record is from RefSeq and is a predicted model, not a curated record. NCBI's taxonomy places the organism in Eukaryota, Metazoa, Chordata, Actinopteri, Pleuronectiformes, Cynoglossidae.